GAGCGGCGAACUGGUGAGUAACACGUAGGUAACCUACCUAAGAGAACAGGAUAACACCUGGGAACAGAUGCUAAUACUGUAUAACAAUUAAAACCACAUGGUUUCGAUUUAAAAGAUGGCUUUUAUGCUAUCGCUCCUAGAUGGACCUGCGGCGCAUUAGCUAGUUGGUAAGAUAAAGGCUUACCAAGGCAAUGAUGCGUAGCCGACCUAAGAGGGUAAUCGGCCACACUGGAACUGAGACACGGUCCAGACUCCUACGGGAGGCAGCAGUAGGGAAUCUUCCACAAUGGACGAAAGUCUGAUGGAGCAACGCCGCGUGAGUGAAGAAGGGUUUCGGCUCGUAAAACUCUGUUGUUAGAGAAGAACGAAUAUGAGAGUAACUGCUCGUAUUGUGACGGUAUCUAACCAGAAAGUCACGGCUAACUACGUGCCAGCAGCCGCGGUAAUACGCAGGUGGCAAGCGUUGUCCGGAUUUAUUGGGCGUAAAGUGAGUGUAGGCGGUUUCUUAAGUCUGAUGUGAAAGCCUUCGGCUCAACCGAAGAAGUGCAUUGGAAACUGAGAAACUUGAGUGCAGAAGAAGACAGUGGAACUCAAUGUGUAGCGGUGAAAUGCGUAGAUAUAUUGAGGAACACCAGUGGCGAAGGCGGCUGUCUAGUCUGCAACUGACGCUGAGGCUCGAAAGCAUGGGUAGCGAACAAGAUUAGAUACCCUGGUAGUCCAUGCCGUAAACGAUGAGUGCUAGGUGUUGGGAAGUUUCCACUUCUCAGUGCCGCAGCUAACGCAUUAAGCACUCCGCCUGGGGAGUACGAUCGCAAGAUUGAAACUCAAAGGAAUUGACGGGGGCCCGCACAAGCGGUGGAGCAUGUGGUUUAAUUCGAUGCUACGCGAAAAGCCUUACCAGGUCUUGACAUCUUCUGUUAGCCUAAGAGAUUAGGUGUCUUCUUCGGAAGCAGAAUGACAGGUGGUGCAUGGUUGUCGUCAGCUCGUGUCGUGAGAUGUUGGGUUAAGUCCCACAACGAGCGCAACCCCUAUCGUUAGUUGCCAUCAUUAAGUUGGGCACUCUAGCGAGACUGCCGGUGAUAAACCGGAGGAAGGUGGGGAUGACGUCAAAUCAUCAUGCCCCUUAUGACCUGGGCUACACACGUGCUACAAUGGACGAUACAACGAGUCGCGAAACCGUAAGGUGAAGCCAAUCUUUAAAAGUCGUUCUCAGUUCGGAUUGUAGUCUGCAACUCGACUACAUGAAGCUGGAAUCGCUAGUAAUCGUGGAUCAGCAUGCCACGGUGAAUACGUUCCCGGGCCUUGUACACACCGCCCGUCACACCAUGAGAGUUUGUAAUACCCAAAGUCGGUGAAGUAACC
Molecule: ribosomal RNA, 1362 nt
Filed under: uncultured Lactobacillaceae bacterium
Lineage: Bacteria; Bacillati; Bacillota; Bacilli; Lactobacillales; Lactobacillaceae
Description: 16S ribosomal RNA
Rfam family: Bacterial small subunit ribosomal RNA
Source: RNAcentral